Molecule: transfer RNA, 58 nt
Filed under: Scraptia sp. SCR01
Lineage: Eukaryota; Metazoa; Arthropoda; Insecta; Coleoptera; Scraptiidae
Description: tRNA-Ser
Source: RNAcentral
GAAAUAUUCCAAAUUUAAGCUUCUAACUUAAAAUAAAGCAAUUAUUGUUUAUAUUUCU